Molecule: ribosomal RNA, 253 nt
Filed under: uncultured bacterium
Lineage: Bacteria
Description: partial 16S ribosomal RNA
Rfam family: Bacterial small subunit ribosomal RNA
Source: RNAcentral
GACGUAGGGCGCAAGCGUUGUCCGGAUUUAUUGGGCGUAAAGAGCUCGUAGGCGGCCUGUUGCGUCGACUGUGAAAACUCACGGCUUAACCGUGGAACUGCAGUCGAUACGGGCAGGCUAGAGUUCGGUAGGGGAGACUGGAAUUCCUGGUGUAGCGGUGAAAUGCGCAGAUAUCAGGAGGAACACCGGUGGCGAAGGCGGGUCUCUGGGCCGAAACUGACGCUGAGGAGCGAAAGCGUGGGGAGCGAACAGG